Molecule: ribosomal RNA, 253 nt
Filed under: uncultured bacterium
Lineage: Bacteria
Description: partial 16S ribosomal RNA
Rfam family: Bacterial small subunit ribosomal RNA
Source: RNAcentral
UACGUAGGCAGCAAGCGUUGUUCGGAGUUACUGGGCGUAAAGGGUGUGUAGGCGGUUCUUUAAGUUUGGUGUGAAAUCUCCCGGCUCAACCGGGAGGGUGCGUCGAAUACUGAGGGACUAGAGUACGGGAGAGGAAAGUGGAAUUCCUGGUGUAGCGGUGAAAUGCGUAGAUAUCAGGAGGAACACCGGUGGUGUAGACGGCUUUCUGGACCGUAACUGACGCUGAGACACGAAAGCGUGGGUAGCAAACAGG